UUAAAUUUAAGCGCCGGGACCGUACAUAGUGGCAUAGCGGUUGACGAGGUUGGGGAGCAUCGAAAUAUUCGGCGGAUGCCCCACGGUAGACAUAUCGUAAACGGAUACUUAAAAAUCGGGAGUAAUUCCGUAACAAAGGU
RNAcentral lists this non-coding RNA (140 nucleotides) under human gut metagenome. RNAcentral describes it as "glmS glucosamine-6-phosphate activated ribozyme". It matches the Rfam family "glmS glucosamine-6-phosphate activated ribozyme aptamer". From Rfam's summary of the family: This entry contains a glucosamine-6-phosphate activated ribozyme that is found in the mRNA for GlmS. GlmS is an enzyme that uses fructose-6-phosphate and glutamine to generate glucosamine-6-phosphate. The record is from RNAcentral.